This 76-nucleotide transfer RNA is filed under the name Methyloglobulus sp. Its description in RNAcentral is "tRNA-Lys". It matches the Rfam family "tRNA". Rfam says of the family: Transfer RNA (tRNA) molecules are approximately 80 nucleotides in length. Their secondary structure includes four short double-helical elements and three loops (D, anti-codon, and T loops). The record is from RNAcentral. Lineage: Bacteria; Pseudomonadati; Pseudomonadota; Gammaproteobacteria; Methylococcales; Methylococcaceae.
GGGUCGUUAGCUCAGCCGGUAGAGCACUGCACUUUUAAUGCGGUUGUCGCGCGUUCGAGCCGCGCACGACCCACCA